This 26-nucleotide non-coding RNA is filed under the name Mus musculus (house mouse). The record is from RNAcentral. Lineage: Eukaryota; Metazoa; Chordata; Mammalia; Rodentia; Muridae.
UGAGGUAAACACAGUUGGAUUUGUGG